RNAcentral lists this ribosomal RNA (351 nucleotides) under uncultured Fusibacter sp. Its description in RNAcentral is "bacterial SSU rRNA". It matches the Rfam family "Bacterial small subunit ribosomal RNA", at positions 1033 to 1382 of the family's 1533-position model. The record is from RNAcentral. Lineage: Bacteria; Bacillati; Bacillota; Clostridia; Eubacteriales; Fusibacteraceae.
ACGAGGUGCUGCAUGGUUGUCGUCAGCUCGUGUCGUGAGAUGUUGGGUUAACGUCCCGCAACGAGCGCAACCCUUGUGUUUAGUUGCAAACAGGUCAAGCUGUGCACUCUAGACAGACUGCCGUGGACAACACGGAGGAAGGUGGGGAUGACGUCAAAUCAUCAUGCCCCUUAUGAUCUGGGCUACACACGUGCUACAAUGGCCGGUACAACGGGCAGCGAAGGAGCGAUCCGGAGCGAAUCCUAAAAAGCCGGUCCCAGUUCGGAUUGCAGGCUGAAACUCGCCUACAUGAAGUUGGAGUUGCUAGUAAUCGCGAAUCAGAAUGUCGCGGUGAAUGCGUUCCCGGGUCUU